This 460-nucleotide ribosomal RNA is filed under the name uncultured bacterium. RNAcentral's name for it is "partial 16S ribosomal RNA". It matches the Rfam family "Bacterial small subunit ribosomal RNA", at positions 338 to 795 of the family's 1533-position model. The record is from RNAcentral.
CCUACGGGAGGCAGCAGUGAGGAAUAUUGGUCAAUGGGCUUACGCCUGAACCAGCCAAGUCGCGUGAGGGAAGACUGCCCUAUGGGUUGUAAACCUCUUUUGUCAGGGAGCAAUUGGCGCUACGUGUAGCGUUAUCGAGAGUACCUGAAGAAAAAGCAUCGGCUAACUCCGUGCCAGCAGCCGCGGUAAUACGGAGGAUGCGAGCGUUAUCCGGAUUUAUUGGGUUUAAAGGGAGCGUAGGCGGGGAUGCAAGUUGGGUGUCAAAACUACCGACUCAACUGGUAGUCGCACUCAAAACUGCAGCUCUUGAGUGAAGUAGAGGCAGGCGGAAUUCCUAGUGUAGCGGUGAAAUGCGUAGAUAUUAGGAGGAACACCAGUGGCGAAGGCGGCCUGCUGGGCUUUUACUGACGCUGAGGCUCGAAAGUGUGGGGAGCAAACAGGAUUGGAUACCCUAGUAGUC